AUGCAACGCGAAAAACCUUACCCACCUUUGACAUGUACGGAACUUGCCAGAGAUGGCUUGGUGCUCGAAAGAGAGCCGUAACACAGGUGCUGCAUGGCUGUCGUCAGCUCGUGUCGUGAGAUGUUGGGUUAAGUCCCGCAACGAGCGCAACCCUUGUCAUUAGUUGCUACAUUCAGUUGGGCACUCUAAUGAGACUGCCGGUGACAAGCCGGAGGAAGGUGGGGAUGACGUCAAGUCCUCAUGGCCCUUAUAGGUGGGGCUACACACGUCAUACAAUGGCUGGUACAAAGGGUUGCCAACCCGCGAGGGGGAGCUAAUCCCACAAAGCCAGUCGUAGUCCGGAUCGUAGUCUGCAACUCGACUACGUGAAGUCGGAAUCGCUAGUAAUCGUGGAUCAGAAUGUCACGGUGAAUACGUUCCCGGGUCUUGUACACACCGCCCGUCACACCAUGGGAGCGGGUUCUGCCAGAAGUAGUUAGCUUAACCGCAAGGAGGGCGAUUACCACGGCAGGGUUCGUGACUGGGGUGAAGUCGUAACAAGGUAGCCGU
This 549-nucleotide ribosomal RNA is filed under the name uncultured bacterium. RNAcentral's name for it is "bacterial SSU rRNA". It matches the Rfam family "Bacterial small subunit ribosomal RNA", at positions 954 to 1503 of the family's 1533-position model. The record is from RNAcentral.